AGAGAGAGAGAGAGAGAGAGAGAGAGACAGAGUCAAAAGCGGCGUUGAGAGACCGAGCCAAAAAGCGCGCCGCGGCCGCGCCGACGGCCAUCCUCUUUUUUUUUCCUCUCUUGUAGCGCGCCGGGCUGGUCUCGCUCUUGGCCCUGCCGAUGAAAAUCGACUACGGAAUCAUCCCGUGGAUGCCUUGCGCAUCACGCAGUUCCGCAGCGACUAAUGCUGUGCCGAUGACUCGCCACCCGUCGGCCGGCCGGGCCGCGGCCAAGUCAACCCCCAACACGAAUCGGACCCGCCAACACUGUUUUAUGGAGUGCCGAUAAAUCGUGCACAACACCUGCAGCCAGCCGCAUUCAGGUUUGGGUUUGCGCUUCUUCUAAACACAGUUUGUACGCAAAUUAGUGGCGACUCGGGCAACAGCGCUAGAGGGUUCGAUUCGUGUUGGAGGCCGGCUUGGCCGCGGUCGUCCCGUUCGCGGUCGCGCCGACUGCAGGCCGACUAGUCAUCAACCAGCAGCGGCCGCGCCAAUAUUCCAUUUUUUCCGAUUUUUGCGGCAAUAAAAAUCAAGGCGUGUGGUUGUAAAAU
RNAcentral lists this long non-coding RNA (579 nucleotides) under Pandoravirus salinus. Its description in RNAcentral is "putative ncRNA". The record is from RNAcentral.